UGCGUAGGGUGCAAGCGUUACUCGGAAUUACUGGGCGUAAAGCGUGCGCAGGCGGUUGUGCAAGACAGGUGUGAAAGCCCCGGGCUCAACCUGGGAAUUGCAUUCGAGACUGCAUAGCUAGGGUGCGGAAGAGGGAAGCGGAAUUUCCGGUGUAGCGGUGAAAUGCGUAGAUAUCGGAAGGAACAUCAGUGGCGAAAGCGGCUUCCUGGUCCAGCACCGACGUUCAGGCACGAAAGCGUGGGGAGCAAACAGG
RNAcentral lists this ribosomal RNA (253 nucleotides) under uncultured bacterium. RNAcentral's name for it is "partial 16S ribosomal RNA". It matches the Rfam family "Bacterial small subunit ribosomal RNA", at positions 524 to 776 of the family's 1533-position model. The record is from RNAcentral.